GACGGACGCUGGCGGCGUGCUUAACACAUGCCAGUCGAACGGAAAGGCCCUGCUUUUGUGGGGUGCUCGAGUGGCGAACGGGUGAGUAACACGUGAGUAACCUGCCCUUGACUUUGGGAUAACUUCAGGAAACUGGGGCUAAUACCGGAUAGGAGCUCCUGCUGCAUGGUGGGGGUUGGAAAGUUUCGGCGGUUGGGGAUGGACUCGCGGCUUAUCAGCUUGUUGGUGGGGUAGUGGCUUACCAAGGCUUUGACGGGUAGCCGGCCUGAGAGGGUGACCGGCCACAUUGGGACUGAGAUACGGCCCAGACUCCUACGGGAGGCAGCAGUGGGGAAUAUUGAACAAUGGGCGGAAGCCUGAUGCAGCAACGCCGCGUGCGGGAUGACGGCCUUCGGGUUGUAAACCGCUUUCGCCUGUGACGAAGCGUGAGUGACGGUAAUGGGUAAAGAAGCACCGGCUAACUACGUG
RNAcentral lists this ribosomal RNA (468 nucleotides) under uncultured bacterium. RNAcentral's name for it is "partial 16S ribosomal RNA". It matches the Rfam family "Bacterial small subunit ribosomal RNA", at positions 28 to 507 of the family's 1533-position model. The record is from RNAcentral.